GACGAACGCUGGCGGCGCGCCUAACACAUGCAAGUCGAACGGAGUCAAGAGGAGCUUGCUUUUCUUGACUUAGUGGCGAACGGGUGAGUAACGCGUGAGUAACCUGCCCUGGAGUGGGGGACAACAGUUGGAAACGACUGCUAAUACCGCAUAAGCCCACGGAUCUGCAUGGAUCUGCGGGCAAAGGAUUUAUUCGCUCUAGGAUGGACUCGCGUCCAAUUAGCUAGUUGGUGAGGUAACGGCCCACCAAGGCGACGAUUGGUAGCCGGACUGAGAGGUUGAACGGCCACAUUGGGACUGAGACACGGCCCAGACUCCUACGGGAGGCAGCAGUGGGGGAUAUUGCACAAUGGGGGAAACCCUGAUGCAGCGACGCCGCGUGGAGGAAGAAGGUUUUCGGAUUGUAAACUCCUGUCGUUAGGGACGAUAAUGACGGUACCUAACAAGAAAGCACCGGCUAACUACGUG
This 468-nucleotide ribosomal RNA is filed under the name uncultured bacterium. RNAcentral describes it as "partial 16S ribosomal RNA". It matches the Rfam family "Bacterial small subunit ribosomal RNA", at positions 28 to 507 of the family's 1533-position model. The record is from RNAcentral.